AUCGAACGCUGGCGGCAUGCCUUACACAUGCAAGUCGAACGGCAGCACGGGAGCAAUCCUGGUGGCGAGUGGCGAACGGGUGAGUAAAGUAUCGGAACGUGCCCAGUCGUGGGGGAUAACGUAGCGAAAGUUACGCUAAUACCGCAUACGAUCUAUGGAUGAAAGCGGGGGAUCGCAAGACCUCGCGCGAUUGGACCGGCCGAUAUCAGAUUAGGUAGUUGGUGGGGUAAAGGCUCACCAAGCCGACGAUCUGUAGCUGGUCUGAGAGGACGACCAGCCACACUGGGACUGAGACACGGCCCAGACUCCUACGGGAGGCAGCAGUGGGGAAUUUUGGACAAUGGGCGAAAGCCUGAUCCAGCCAUGCCGCGUGCAGGAUGAAGGCCUUCGGGUUGUAAACUGCUUUUGUACGGAACGAAAAGGUUUGGCCUAAUAAGCUGAGCUCAUGACGGUACCGUAAGAAUAAGCACCGGCUAACUACGUGCCAGCAGCCGCCGUAA
RNAcentral lists this ribosomal RNA (500 nucleotides) under uncultured bacterium. Its description in RNAcentral is "partial 16S ribosomal RNA". It matches the Rfam family "Bacterial small subunit ribosomal RNA", at positions 30 to 523 of the family's 1533-position model. The record is from RNAcentral.